Fukomys damarensis (Damara mole-rat) is the source of this 128-nucleotide ribosomal RNA. The record is from Ensembl. Lineage: Eukaryota; Metazoa; Chordata; Mammalia; Rodentia; Bathyergidae.
GUCUAUGGCCAUACUACCCUGAGCACACCUAAUUUCAUGUGAUCUUGAAAGCCAAGCAUGGUCAGGCCUGGUUAGUACUUGGAUGGGAGAAACACUUCUUCCACAGCCAAAGACUGCAGCCUUGGUCC